RNAcentral lists this non-coding RNA (30 nucleotides) under Rattus norvegicus (Norway rat). Lineage: Eukaryota; Metazoa; Chordata; Mammalia; Rodentia; Muridae. The record is from RNAcentral.
UGGAUCCUUACAAUGAGAUAUUUGAUGACC